Molecule: ribosomal RNA, 220 nt
Filed under: uncultured bacterium
Lineage: Bacteria
Description: partial 16S ribosomal RNA
Rfam family: Bacterial small subunit ribosomal RNA
Source: RNAcentral
GAUCAUGGCUCAGGAUGAACGCUGGCGGCGUGCCUAAUACAUGCAAGUCGAACGCUUCACAUCGGUGAAGAGUGGCGAACGGGUGAGUAAUACAUAAGUAACCUGGCAUCUACAGGGGGGAUAACUGAUGGAAACGUCAGCUAAGACCGCAUAGGUAUAGAGAUCGCAUGAACUCUAUAUGAAAAGUGCUACGGGACUGGUAGAUGAUGGACUUAUGGCG